GGUGAGAUGGAGAAUCGGUGAAGACGUCUUGGGCUUCUAUAUGGGUUUCUACUAUUUUUGUGGAACGGAGGAAAACUGAGCAGGAGACUGACUGAGUGGCUUUACAUCAAGAAAAAGUCUGCAGAUGUUGUAAAUUUUCAGCUUGCCAGAGGAUGAACCAAAUCUGGCAGUCGAGGCAAUGCAAUGACCGUGUCUCUACAAAUUCCUUCUAUCAACAGCAUCUUGCGGGUUACCAUCCUUACUCCCUGUCUUUCCAAUCUUACUGCUUCACAGUUCGAGCAGCAGUGGCUGUUAACAGCUUGACCCGUCUGAAGUAAACUAUGAAGGAAGCCUGCAAGUCGUUAGUAUAAUAGAGACUGCUAGCUGUUCCUCCAGGAAAGAAAGAUCUUGUACCUUGAAUGAAAG
Molecule: long non-coding RNA, 405 nt
Organism: Harpia harpyja (harpy eagle)
Lineage: Eukaryota; Metazoa; Chordata; Aves; Accipitriformes; Accipitridae
Exons: 3
Source: RefSeq, a predicted model, not a curated record